AGGUCUCAGAUCUGACUGUUGUUUUCUUCCUCCUCUAAAUCCUUCCUGGAGCAGAAGAAUGGGCCAGAGGAGAGGCAACUGAGAGGGAAAAGGAACCUCUUGAACAAAAGGUUAAAGAAUUACAGUCAAAGAUGGAGGGCAACAAAAGUGCCUUCUUGAAGAAAGUUAGACUCAACACGACAAAGAUGAGAGAAAGAGAAAACAUUCUGAGAAGGAUGAACGAGAGGUUUGAGAUGUUGGAGAUCUUGGGGAUGAUAAAGGAUGAGCUAGGGGAAUGCCGCAAGAAGACAGAUGCGCUCCUUUGUGAUGCAGCCAAGACCUUAGCAGAAUGCGCUAAAGGAGAGCCAUCUGAGAGGGAAAAGGAGCUUCUUGAGCAACAGUAUAAGGAGAUAAGUCAAAAGGUGGAGGACCAAAAAAAAGACUUCGAAGAAUUUGUAGGCAAAAUGAUAGAGAAAACAAGAAAAAGACUAAAGAUUUCAGCAGAAGAGUGUGCCAAGAGAGAGGCAGCUGAGAGGGAAAAGGGACUUCUUGAGCAAAAGGUUAAAGAGCUGCAGGAACAGCUGAAGGACCAAGAAAGGGUCUCUGAGAAAUUCAGAGUCAAAAAGACAGAGAAGCAAAGAGAAAGAGAAAAUACCUCAGCAGAAGUGCUGGCCCAAUGGGAGGAUUCUUUGUGGGAAAAGAAGCAAAUGGUUAAAGAAUUGCAGCAAAAGUUGGAGGAACAAGAAAGAACCUUCGAGAGAUUUAAAGUCAAACUCACAAAGGAGAUGACAGAAAGAGAUGACCUUCUGAGAAAGAUGAAUGAGAGGAUUCAGAUGCUGGAAGCUGCAGUGAAUGAUGAUAAUGACAAGGAUAAUGAGGAAAACACUGAAAAGGACUGACGUUCAUAGACACAGGAAGAUAAUGACAAAGAAAAUACUUCACGGCGUUUUAGUCUCAGUUUGGGAGAAGAUAAAACAUGUGUGGUGACUAAUUACUCAUAUUUUUUGUUUGUUUCUUUUAAAUUCUGGUAAUAUUAA
Molecule: long non-coding RNA, 1016 nt
Organism: Moschus moschiferus (Siberian musk deer)
Lineage: Eukaryota; Metazoa; Chordata; Mammalia; Artiodactyla; Moschidae
Source: Ensembl